UGCAGUCGAGCGCUCUCUUCGGAGGGAGCGGCGGACGGGUGAGUAACACGUGGGAAUAUGCCCUUCUCUGCGGAAUAGCCUCGGGAAACUGAGAGUAAUACCGCAUACGCCCUUCGGGGGAAAGAUUUAUCGGAGAAGGAUUAGCCCGCGUUAGAUUAGGUAGUUGGUGGGGUAAUGGCCUACCAAGCCUACGAUCUAUAGCUGGUUUUAGAGGAUGAUCAGCCACACUGGGACUGAGACACGGCCCAGACUCCUACGGGAGGCAGCAGUGAGGAAUCUUAGACAAUGGGCGCAAGCCUGAUCUAGCCAUGCCGCGUGUGUGAUGAAGGCCUUAGGGUCGUAAAGCACUUUCGCCAGAGAUGAUAAUGACAGUAUCUGGUAAAGAAACCCCGGCUAACUCCGUGCCAGCAGCCGCGGUAAUACGGAGGGGGUUAGCGUUGUUCGGAAUUACUGGGCGUAAAGCGCACGUAGGCGGAUCAGAAAGUUGGGGGUGAAAUCCCGGGGCUCAACCCCGGAACUGCCUCCAAAACUCCUGGUCUUGAGUUCGAGAGAGGUGAGUGGAAUUCCGAGUGUAGAGGUGAAAUUCGUAGAUAUUCGGAGGAACACCAGUGGCGAAGGCGGCUCACUGGCUCGAUACUGACGCUGAGGUGCGAAAGUGUGGGGAGCAAACAGGAUUAGAUACCCUGGUAGUCCACACCGUAAACGAUGAAUGCCAGUCGUCGGCAAGCAUGCUUGUCGGUGACACACCUAACGGAUUAAGCAUUCCCGCCUGGGGAGUACGGUCGCAAGAUUAAAACUCAAAGGAUUUGACGGGGCCCG
Molecule: ribosomal RNA, 819 nt
Filed under: uncultured Paracoccaceae bacterium
Lineage: Bacteria; Pseudomonadati; Pseudomonadota; Alphaproteobacteria; Rhodobacterales; Paracoccaceae
Description: bacterial SSU rRNA
Rfam family: Bacterial small subunit ribosomal RNA
Source: RNAcentral